This 253-nucleotide ribosomal RNA is filed under the name uncultured bacterium. RNAcentral's name for it is "partial 16S ribosomal RNA". It matches the Rfam family "Bacterial small subunit ribosomal RNA", at positions 524 to 776 of the family's 1533-position model. The record is from RNAcentral.
UACGGAGGGUGCAAGCGUUGUUCGGAAUCACUGGGCGUAAAGCGCGUGUAGGCGGCCUCCUCAGUCUGGUGUGAAAGCCCGGGGCUUACCCCCGGAAGUGCAUUGGAUACUGGGAGGCUGGAGUACCGGAGAGGAGGGUGGAAUUCCUGGUGUAGCGGUGAAAUGCGUAGAUAUCAGGAGGAACACCGGUGGCGAAGGCGGCCCUCUGGACGGAUACUGACGCUGAGACGCGACAGCGUGGGGAGCAAACAGG